Molecule: non-coding RNA, 24 nt
Filed under: Rattus norvegicus (Norway rat)
Lineage: Eukaryota; Metazoa; Chordata; Mammalia; Rodentia; Muridae
Source: RNAcentral
GAUAAUGCACAGCAUGGGGCAAGA